RNAcentral lists this ribosomal RNA (491 nucleotides) under Microprosthema validum. Its description in RNAcentral is "partial 16S ribosomal RNA". It matches the Rfam family "Bacterial large subunit ribosomal RNA", at positions 1925 to 2621 of the family's 2925-position model. Lineage: Eukaryota; Metazoa; Arthropoda; Malacostraca; Decapoda; Macromaxillocarididae. The record is from RNAcentral.
AAAGGGCCGCGGUAAUUUGACCGUGCAAAGGUAGCAUAAUCAUUAGUUUCUUAAAUGGGAACUUGUAUGAAGGGCUCGAUGAAUAAUAAGCUGUCUUGUAUAUAAAGUUUGAAUUUGACUUUUAAGUGAAAAGGCUUAGAUAAAAUAAAGGGACGAUAAGACCCUAUAAAACUUAAUAUUAAAUAUAUUAUAUUUUAUAUUUAAAGUUUAUUAAAAAAUAGUUUGUUUAUAUUUUACUGGGGCGGUAAGAAUAUAACUAUUAACUGUUCUUUGUUAAUAAUCAAUGAUAGUUGAGAUAUAAAUGAUCCUUUAUUUAAAGAUUGAAAGAAUAAGUUACUUUAGGGAUAACAGCGUUAUUUUUUUUGAGAGUUCUUAUCGACAAAAGAGAUUGCGACCUCGAUGUUGAAUUAAAAGGUCUUUUUAAUGUAGCAGUUAGAAAGGAAGGUCUGUUCGACCUUUAAAUUUUUACAUGAUUUGAGUUCAGACCGGCG